Molecule: ribosomal RNA, 301 nt
Filed under: uncultured bacterium
Lineage: Bacteria
Description: partial 16S ribosomal RNA
Rfam family: Archaeal small subunit ribosomal RNA
Source: RNAcentral
CAGUAGCCGCGGUAACACCAGCAGCCCAAGUGGUGGUCGCGAUUAUUGGGCCUAAAGCGCUCGUAGCCGGGCCGGUAGGUCCCUUGUGAAAUCGGACGGCCUAACCGUUCGGCGUGCAAGGGAUACUGUCGGUCUUGAGGCCGGGAGACGUCCGAGGUACUCCGGGGGUAGCGGUGAAAUGUUCUAAUCCUCGGGGGACCACCGGUGGCGAAGGCGUUCGACGAGAACGGGCCUGACGGUGAGGGGCGAAGGCUAGGGGAGCAAACGGGAUUAGAUACCCCCGUAGUCCCUGUCUCUUAUA